Molecule: long non-coding RNA, 5392 nt
Organism: Syngnathoides biaculeatus (alligator pipefish)
Lineage: Eukaryota; Metazoa; Chordata; Actinopteri; Syngnathiformes; Syngnathidae
Exons: 3
Source: RefSeq, a predicted model, not a curated record
ACGGAAUUACGAUUUUUGGACGGAGUAGGACGCAAUGUCAGAGUGACAGCAAAAUGUUGGCGAUCGAUGCAAAAAAGCUUCAUAUGGAAAUCCAACAGGAUAAAAUAGUUGAAUCGUACUGCGCAUGUAAAGCAAGCUUGGAAAUAGCGAGCUGAGCCACCGAUGGGCUACACAUUGAGAAAGGGACCCCUUGGCACGCUCCCGUUUGCAGAUGUGAGCAUCGCCAAAUGACCCGGGCCUGUAAUUUGACGCCCGCCACUAAUGACAGAACUUUGGUGAUGUGCCCCUCGUCCACGAAAAACCACAGCGGAGGGAGUCGCGCAGCUGCACGACCGGGAAUGAAAACACGCGGUGGGAACAAUGAGGAGGCUGCCGGAUCAAAGGCUUCUCAAGGCCUCAUUCAGAUAAGAAAUAUAUUACACCCCCCCCCCCCCCCCCCAAGCGUCUUCCGCUUGAAAGAGUCUAAUUUGUACACUAUCCCUGCGGAAAAAAAAAAAAAUCAAUUAAAUCCCAUGUUUAAUAAUGGUACGGUGGAUCAGUUGGAAAGCGUUGGCCUCACAGUUCUGAGGACCCGGAUUCGAUACCGACCCCGCCUGUGUGGAAUUUGCAUGUUCUCCCGCACACGAUAGGAUCAGUAAGUACGCAUUAGGAUUUUUGUUCAAAGUCACUUAGACUGUUAAAAAAAAUGUCUGCUCGCCGCUUUAGAGGAACGUAAAUUACCGGGGGAUUGACAACUGACCCUUGAGGAACGCCAUGUGGAGUUGAGAUAGAGAAUUCAAGUUCCUCGAGCACAACAGACAAUAUUUAAUCGAAUAAGCUUUCAUUAAGCGGAAAAUCCAAAUUUCUUUUUAGCGGAACACGUCUGGCUCCGAGAUUUUCAAUCCUCCCUUCGGCUUUCCUUCGUGGAGUUUGGACAUUCUGUGUGUUUACGUGACUUUUCUUCGGGGAGUGUCGUGAGCAAGGCUUGGCCGCUCCCGGGAGGGGCGUGGCCGGGCCGCUGCUGUGGGCGGUGUCAUCUCUGGGUACUGUGAUUAGAUCAAGUAUUUAAGUUGGAGUUUUGUCACUGGCACUUGCCAGUUCGUUGCUUCGUGUUUAGUGAGCAUGCCUCACCGCCUCCCGCGUUACUCCGCGACUUAGCUUCACAGUCACCGAAGCCUGUUUCUCGUUUUUUGGAUCCUGCCUUCCUGGACUGUGUCAUUGUUGCAUCUCUUUAGUUAAGAAUAAAACCCAGUGAACAUUAUGCCUUUGCCUGGGAGUCCUGCAUUUGGGUCUGCCUCCGCACCGCCGGGAUGUGACCGGUACUACUUCUCACGUUGCAAAAACAUCCAAGUUAGCUUCAUUGGAGACUGAAAUUCACCAUUAGUGUAAAUAUGGAUUGGUUGUUUUUAUGUGCCUCGUGAUUAACUAAUUGGACUGACUGGGAAAGACUAACAAGAAAAAGUAGUCUAGAAAAUGAAUAUAUUUCUUCCGCCAAAUGAAUAAAUAGCCUAUAAAUGCAUGUAUAGUCCAACUAUGCUUAUAAUAUUUCAAAUGUAGAAUAAAGCGAGCAGAAGUGUUUUGAGGUCUUAAGAAAGCAUGACAUCAUGCAUUGUGGAGCAGACAUAACUGCAUUGCAUCAACUGGCGGUGCCACGAUGAAGUCUUUAAGGCCGCUUGUGUGAGAGCGAGUCCGCGGUUCAAAGGCUCCGCGAUGAAUGACAAAUUAUAUGGGCCCCGCUUUGAAAUCAAAUCUCGGAAAACUCCUAACCGCCGCGUCGCCGUAUUGUUCCAGAAAAUCUUCCACAUCACAUGCCGUCUGGAAUUGUUUUUCACACAAAAAGCCGGGGCCCGCCGCUUCCAAAUAUUUCGACGCUCCGGACUCUCAAAACAUCGGUCGACCACAGGUGCAAGUUUCCCAUACCAAUUAGCCGAGGGAUCCGCCCACAAAUUUGCUGUCCAAAUAAACCGGGGUGGUGGGGGGGACGCGUCAAGAAUGCGCAUUAAAAAUGGAGAGCGAUUGUUUUCGAUACUCGCCGCUUUAAUUGGAACCAGGCUCGGUUUCCGAUGCUUAAAAAAAAAAAAGGGGAUUCCUGAUUGAGGGACGCGAGCUUUCCUGUUUGGAGGAACGCGUCGUCGUUUGUCGGCCUUCGCGGUCACAUGGUCAAAGGUUCAACGCAGACCUCAAGCAACCGGGCCACGUGCGGUCAGGCUGGGGGAAAUAUCUAGUAACCGUUUUGUUUUUUUUUUCUUUCAUACCUCACCAGGCUACGCUUCUCUCCGUUACGCGUGUGGACGCCAUUUCGUCUUCUCCAAUUACACUCUCGCUGGCGGCUCCCCCCGUUGUUGCGACGCUUCUGGGAUUGCGGAAGGUGUUUCCACGGAGUAGGUGUUGUACCCCCUCCCAACAAAAACCUUGAAAUGAUGGAAAUAAACUCAUGGAGGGAAUAAUGGAAAGUGCUAUGCGGAAUGUCUGUAGUUCCUGGUUCAGUUUUGAGUCAUCUGUGCCAUCUGUUGUCAAUGCUUCUUCUUCUUCUUUAUCUUUCGGCUUGUCCCGUUAGGGGUCGCCUCAGCGUGUCAUCUUUUUCCAUCUAAGCCUAUCUCGUGCAUCUUCCUCUCUAACACCCACUGUCCUCAUGUCCUACCUCACACUCGCUCUUUUGCCUGGCAGCUCCAUCCUCAGCACCCUUCUACCAAUAUGUGUAUACUCUCUCGCCUCUGGACAUGCCCAAACCAUCGAAGUCUGUUCUCUCCAACCUUGUCUCCAAAACCUCCAACCUUUGCUGUCCCUCUAAUGAACUCAUUUCUAAUCACUCGGAGCGAGAACCUCAACACCUUCAUUUCUGCUACCUCCAGUUCUGGUUCCUGUUGUUUAUUCAAUGCCACCGUCUCCAAUCUGUACAUCAUGGCCGCCUUCACCACUGUUUUAUAGACUUUUGCCCUUCAUCCUCACGGAGACUCUUCAGUCACAUAGAACACCAGACACCUUCGGCCAGUUGUUCCAACUUGCUUGGACCCAUUUCUUCCCUUCGUUAGCACACUCACCAUUGCUCUGGAUUACUGACCCCAAGUAUUUGAAGUCCUCCACCCUCGCCAUCUCUUCUCCCUGGAACUUCACUCUUCCUCCUCCGCCCCUCUCAUUCACGCACAUUUAUUCUGUUUUACUUCGGCUAAUCUUCAUUCCUCUCCUUUCCAGAGCGCGCCUCCAUCGUUCUAAUUGUUCAUCAACCUGCUUUCAGUGCAGAUCACAAUAUCAUCUGCGAACAUCAUAGUCCAAAGGGAAUCUAGUGUAACCUCAUCUGUCAGCCCAUCCAUUACUACCGCAAACAGGAAGGGGCUCAGCGCGGAACCCUGAUGCAGUCCUACUUCCACCUUAAAUUCUUCCGACACACCUACGGCACAUCUCACUGCUGUUCUGCUGCCCUUAUACAUGUCCUGUACUAUUCUAACAUAUUUCUCUGCCACACCAGACCUGCGCAUGCAGUACCACAGUUCCUGUCUUGGUACUCUGCCAUAGCCUUUCUCUAGGUCUACAAAGAUACAAUGUAGCUCCUUCUGACCUUCUCUCUACUUUUCCACGAGCAUCCUCAAGGCAAAUAAUGCAUCUGUGGUACUCUUUCUAGGCAUGAAACCAUACUGUUGCUUGCAGAUACAUCCUUCCGUCCUGAGUCUAGCUUCCAUUACUCUUUCCCAUAACUUCAUUGUGACUGUUGUCAAUCCAAUGGCAAAAAAAACAAAAUAAAAUAAACACUAAAAAAAUGUUGUGAACAUCCACCUGAGGAAGAACGUGAUUUGUAAUGCUCAGUUAAUGUCUGCCUUUUAUGGACACACUGUAAAAGACCGUAAGUCGCAUUAGCAUUACGGCUAAUGAGCUAACUAGCAAAGAGUAUUUAGGAGCGUUCCCGCCCUCAUCUCAGUCGUGGUGUUUGUGAACCGGCUAUUGAGCCAUCACAUAACUCAAAACUCAUCUUUUACUCUUAUGACCGGAACCUUGUUAUACUUUAGCUACUGGACCAGAUUUGGCCCACCGGCACUAUGUUUAACACCAUACUUUGGCGGAACCUCGGACAAAGCAAAAAUAAUCCUAUAAAGCUAAAAAAAAAAAAAAAAAAAGGUAUGGGUUGUUGAAACUUUUUGGGGGCUGAUUUCAUUCAGCGGGUGGGGCACGGCCAGACACAAGGGAACAUACGGUGGCCUUAAAGGGGAAAAAAAGCCACACCAUCUUUCACCAUGGCGGCUCGUCUUUCCACCCCAAGAUCCCUGCCCGGACUCUGCGUGCCGCCGCCGCCGCCGUUCCGCCGCCGUGAAAAUGCCAGACCCAGCUGCGUUUGUUAUCCCGCCAGCAGGAAUCUCGGCAAACGCGCGGCGGCGUCACAUCUUAGCAGUGGGGUGAUAGUUCAACAACAAUCUGUUUGCUCAGCUGCUUUAUUCAAAUAAAACUAUUAAAAGAUUAUUUCAGCAGAGUUCCCCGCGAGGGAGGGGGGGCAACACACACCUCCUCAUUCACGAAGUUGACAUUGAUGGCUUUAACUCUUAGGUACUGUUUGAUGCAUCCAUCCAUUUUCUGUGCCACUUAUCCUCACAAGGGUACACCCUCAACUGGUUGCCAGCCGACCGGCCGCAUGCACAAUUGCAUCUAAAGGCAAUUUAGCGUCUCCAGUUUUUGGGAUAUGACAACAUUUUGAAAAGCGAAUUCAUAAUUUGAUAUACUGUACAAGAAGAUCACUACGACAUUCUCGCUCCGUGUUAAAAUUAACCCCGGAGCGUGCGAUGCGUGGGUGGAAAAUGAACCGUAUGCAAGAGUUGACGACGUUUAACCCCACUGGGGUGUGUGUUUUAUGUGGGCCGCUCCAGAACCGCUGCCUCCCUUGUUAUCUGUUUUUAAUGAUCCCCAAACCAUCGGUGUCCUCUGGAUCAGCGGCCUGCUUAUUUACUUUGCGCCCCGACCGAGAGAGAGGCUAUUUUUAUCUGGCGAGGUGGGCGGGUUGAGCAGGCACAUCUUUAAUUUUAAUCAAAACCGGACGUCGGGGGCAACGUCCUUGUUGUUCUUCCCUGCGAGUUCACGCGGUCCAAAGUCAUUACUGUCGCAAAUUCCGAGAAGGUUCUGACAUGCGGAUCCGGAAUUUGUCCUGCUCGUAGCAAAUUGGGAGGUUUUGGCGCAGCAGGGGUCGGGAAGCGAAUAGAUUGUGGGGGUCAAGAAAUGUUUCCAGUCACUGAAGGUACACGGGCCUGACUUUGGUGACGGUUUGAAUCUGACUGUUACGUUUUGUGUGUGUUUCUAUGGAUUGGAUAUGGUGGGCAGUCUCUCUUGAGCAGCUACAAUGCCGAGUCCGGGGUGUGGUCCACAUUUUGCCCGAAGUCAGCCAGUACAGGCUCCAGCUCACCUCUGAGCCUCAAGAAGAUGGGCAGCACAGAAA